UGCGUUUGACGCUUUCAUAGUGCCUUGACGCAUUUGUAGUGUCCAGGCGCACUUCUAGUGUCUUGGCGCAUUUCUAGUGACUGAAGGCAUUUUCAGCGUCCUGGCGC
Molecule: non-coding RNA, 107 nt
Organism: Caenorhabditis elegans
Lineage: Eukaryota; Metazoa; Nematoda; Chromadorea; Rhabditida; Rhabditidae
Source: Ensembl